Molecule: ribosomal RNA, 254 nt
Filed under: uncultured bacterium
Lineage: Bacteria
Description: partial 16S ribosomal RNA
Rfam family: Bacterial small subunit ribosomal RNA
Source: RNAcentral
UACGUAGGGGCCUAGCGUUGUCCGGAUUUAUUGGGCGUAAAGAGCUCGUAGGCGGUUCGGUAAGUCAGGUGUGAAAUCUCCACGCUCAACGUGGAGGGGCCACCUGAUACUGCCGUGACUCGAGUCCGGUAGGGGAGUGUGGAAUUCCCGGUGUAGCGGUGAAAUGCGCAGAGAUCGGGAGGAACACCCGUAGCGAAGGCGGCACUCUGGGCCGGUACUGACGCUGAGGAGCGAAAGCGUGGGGAGCAAACAGG